UACGGGGGGAGCAAGCGUUGUUCGGAAUUACUGGGCGUAAAGGGCGCGUAGGCGGCCUUCUAAGUCGAACGUGAAAUCCCUGGGCUCAACCCAGGAACUGCGUCCGAUACUGGAAGGCUUGAAUCCGGGAGAGGGAUGCGGAAUUCCAGGUGUAGCGGUGAAAUGCUUAGAUAUGAUAUAGAACACCGAUUGCGAAGGCAGCUUACUAAGCAAAUAUUGACGCUGAGGCACGAAAGCGUGGGGAUCAAACAGG
Molecule: ribosomal RNA, 253 nt
Filed under: uncultured bacterium
Lineage: Bacteria
Description: partial 16S ribosomal RNA
Rfam family: Bacterial small subunit ribosomal RNA
Source: RNAcentral